GCAUUGGUGGUGUAGCGGUAACAUUGGGUCUUCCCAUGGCCUAGCUCCGGGUUCGACUCCCGGCCAAUGCA
Non-coding RNA from Psilocybe cubensis, 71 nucleotides. Lineage: Eukaryota; Fungi; Basidiomycota; Agaricomycetes; Agaricales; Agrocybaceae. The record is from the annotation of a RefSeq genome assembly.